GGGGGGCGCGGACACGCGUGGUGUGCGCGGUCCCCGUGCAGCCCGCCCUGCCGCAGGCUGCCCUCCACCCCCAGCCCCAGCUCCAGCCCCCAGCCCGUCCCCACUGCUCAUAUCCGAGCAGAUAGACCCCGGCCCCACCCUCCCGUGCUGAGCCUCCUUUCUGCCGGGAAGUUCGUCCGGGAGUCAAACAUCGCUGCCCUCCGGUUGCGCCACGGAGGGGGAGCCAGGAUAGGAAGCUGCCGUGAAAUCAGGAAGCUGAGCGCGCCGGGCCCCGGAUCCGAACAGAAAAGGCUUCCACCCGCUCCCCUGAGGGAUCCCACGCUGAGGGACUGAACCCCGCACCCCAGCCGCGCUCACCACCCCCACCCUCUCGCCUGGGCUGCUCUGACCUGGGGUUCACUUUCUGAAGAUGAUUCUGAAGAAGAGGAGGAAUUGGAAGAGGAAUCCGAGCCUUCUGAAUGAAUUCCAGAACUGCCACUCAAAGUGCCCUAUGAGGAGCUGUGGUAACAAGGAAAUGUUCUCAUGACUCAAAAAUCAGUGGAAAAAGGUACAGGAUGAGAAGCCUUGUUUCCCAACCCUAUCAACAGGGCUGUGCUGUUUCCCUCUACCACGAAUGCUCUUCUUAAAUACGGCUCACUUCAUCUCCUUCUGAUACCUGCUUAAAUCUCAUCUUCUCAAAAUGGCCUUGUCUGACCAACUUAUUAAAAUAGUAUCCCAACUAC
Molecule: long non-coding RNA, 722 nt
Filed under: Homo sapiens (human)
Lineage: Eukaryota; Metazoa; Chordata; Mammalia; Primates; Hominidae
Description: non-protein coding lnc-SEC22C-2:9
Source: RNAcentral